Molecule: ribosomal RNA, 252 nt
Filed under: uncultured bacterium
Lineage: Bacteria
Description: partial 16S ribosomal RNA
Rfam family: Bacterial small subunit ribosomal RNA
Source: RNAcentral
UACGUAGGGGGCAAGCGUUGUCCGGAUUUAUUGGGCGUAAAGAGCGUGUAGGCGGCUUGGUAGGUCUUGCGUCAAAACCUGAGGCUCAACCUCAGUUCGCGUGGGAAACCAUCUAGCUAGAGUCCGGAAGAGGAGAACGGAAUUCCCAGUGUAGCGGUGAAAUGCGCAGAUAUUGGGAAGAACACCAGUGGCGAAGGCGGUUCUCUGGGACGGUACUGACGCUGAGACGCGAAAGCGUGGGGAGCGAACAGG